RNAcentral lists this long non-coding RNA (583 nucleotides) under Equus asinus (donkey). RNAcentral describes it as "lncRNA (ENSEASG00005036250.1)". Lineage: Eukaryota; Metazoa; Chordata; Mammalia; Perissodactyla; Equidae. The record is from RNAcentral.
UUUCCGAUUGAUAUUAUCUUGCCAGAGAUGGGGAGCCGCUGAAGAAUUUGGGGCAGGGAGAUAACGCGGAAGAGGUGAAUGGAAUGGAGUGGGAGAAUGCCAAUGUGGGUAUUCCUGUGGGCGGAAGUGAGGGCUGGCUGGCUGACGACCACCGCCCUUCAUUCAUUUAGUCGUUCAACAAAUAGUUACUACAGGUCGGCUGUGUACCAGGAGCUGGAAAUCAGGCAAUGAACAGGACUGGCAAAGUCUCUGUUCUCAUGGAAGAGACUGACAACACACAAAUAAGGAAACAAGCAAGGAAGUAUCAGCUAAGUGCCGCUUGGAAAAUCAAACCAGUUUUACAGAUCCAAAAAGGCUUGGGAGGACUAAAGACACUUGCUAAAGGUGGCCAUCAAGUAGGCAAGAGAGCUAGAAGCUGAGAGCUGCACUUUCCACAAGUCCUCACCGCCGUCAAAUCCCUAGACCUGGGCUUGCUCUAACAGCAAUGAAAGAAAACUUGGAAAGCUACAAAAGAUCGUCGACUCUGAACUAUUACUGGGGUGGGCAGAGAUGCCCCAGGUGACUGGACACCAUUAGGCAGAGG